GAUCAAGACCCAGAAUCACUGACCCUGGAGGAUGUGGCUGUUGAAUUCAGCCGGGAGGAGUGGCAGCUCCUGGAACACUGCUCAGAAGGACCUGUACCAGGAUGUGAUGGUGGAGAACUCUAACCACCUGGUAUCACUGGGGUAUCAAACUAGCAAACCAGAUGCACUCUCCAAGUUGGCGCAUGGAUGGGAACCAUUGAAAACAGAUGCUAAAGUCCAGAAUAAAAAUUGUCCAGGAAUCAGGAAAGUUGACAGUCAUCUGCAAGAGCACUCUCCAAACCAGUGAUUUCUGAAGAGCAUGCAGCAAUGCAGUGGACAGAAUGCAUUUAGAAAUAUUGUACAUCUCAGCAAGACACAUUUUUCUCUAGUGCAAAAUCAUAAUACAUUUGACUUGUACAGAAAAACAUUGAAAUCAAUUUUAAGUUUAAUCAACCAGAAGAGAAGACAUGGAAUAAAUAACCUUGUGGAGUUUAUUGGAGGUGAGAAAACCCUUCUACAUGAUAAGCAUGAACAUACGAAUACUAAAACUAGAUUUUCUGAAAAUGCAAAUGGAUCCAUACUAAAUUCCAAGUCUUUAAGCAUCAGAGGACUCAGAAAAUUGAGAAACUCCAUGCAUUCAUUGAAUGUGAGCAAACCUUCCUCUGAAGUCUCAGCUCAUUUACCACGAGAACAUUCACAUAGAAGAGAAUCCUGGAGGUGGUCAAUGUGAGAAAUUGUCCAGAAGUGUCCUGUUCACUAAGCAUCUGAAAACUAAUAUAGGGGACAAAAUCUGUAUACCCAAUCAAUAUAGAACAGGCUCUACUGUGAAGAGUAUUCUCAUUGCACAUCAACAAACUUAUACAGAAGAGAAAUCCUAUAUGUACUGUGAGUGUGGAAAGGGCUUUACAAUGAAGCGCUAUCUAAUUGCUCAUCAGCGAACUUGUAGUGGAGAGAAACCUUAUGUGUGCAAUGAAUGUGGAAAAGGUUUCACUGUGAAGAUCAAUCUCAUUGUACAUCAGUGAAUUCAUACAGGGGGAGAAACCCUAUAUAUUCAGUGAAUGUAGAAAAGGCUUCACCCAGAAGCGCUACCUUGUUGUACAUCAGCAAACUCAUACUGGAGAGAGACCCCAUAUAUGCAGUGAAUGUGGAAAAGGCUUUACUGUGAAGAGCAAUCUCAUUGUACAUCAGUGCUCCCGUACAGGAGAAAAAUCUUAUAUAUGCAGCUAAUGUGGAAAAGCCUUCACUGUCAAACGCACUCGCAUUAUACAUCAGUGAACUCAUACAGGAGAGAAAUCUUACAUAUGCAAUUAAUGUGGUAAAGGUUUCACCACAAAGUGCACUCUUAUUAUACAUCACCGAACUCACACAGGAGAAAAACCUUAUGAAUGCAAUGACGUGGUAAAGCCUUCAGCCAGAAAAUAUGGCUCAUACAAUGUGAGAGAUGUCAUACAGGAAAGAAUCCCUUUGUAUGUACUGAGUGUGGAAAAUCCUAUUCACACAAAUAUAGUCUCAUUACCCAUCAGAGAAUUCACACAGGAGAGAAACCUUAUGAGUGCAAUGAAUGUGGAAAAGCCUUCACCACAAAGUCAGUACUCAAUGUACAUCAAAGAACGCAUACAGGAGAGAGGCCCUAUGGAUGCAGUGAUUGUGAGAAAGGCUUCUUCCACUCAUCAAACCUUGUCAAAUAUAAGAAGAUGCACACAAGAGAAAGGGGUAGAAUCAGUCAAGUUGAAAAUUCCUGUAAUGGAGAGUCACAGCUCCUUCCUUACAAGUGA
Molecule: long non-coding RNA, 1754 nt
Filed under: Homo sapiens (human)
Lineage: Eukaryota; Metazoa; Chordata; Mammalia; Primates; Hominidae
Description: non-protein coding lnc-CCDC82-13:1
Source: RNAcentral